UUGAGUUCGAUCUUUCACUGAGGUAGGACGGGAAGAUAUCGUUCGGAUUUGUAGGAAACCGCGUACGCGUACCUGUUCUCAAUUGGGACCUUUUGGGGUCACCUGUCCCUUCAAUUCAAGUUGAGGGGCUUUGUUCGAAUCGGUGGGUGGGUGCACAAGUUUAGCGGUGUCAUUAGGCAAUGUGUCACAAGUAGUAGCAAAAAAGUGCAACCCGUGUCCGUCAGAGUCAGAUUUUGCGAUGUUAUUUCAGUCCAUUUAAAUUGUGGAAUGCCUAAAGAUCAGAAAGCCGUGAAGAGGCAAAGUGAAAUAAUUGCGCGGCAGUGCAGAGUGCAUCGUGUGAAAUAAAAACCGCAAAACUUGGAAAAGUGAAAGGCACUGUGCGAACAUCGGAGAAAAAAGUGGAAUGAAGCACACGCAUAAUCGGAACUUCAACAACAACAGAAAAAAAACCGUGAAUGAAUGGGCGAAUAUGUUGAAGGAAGCAAAACAGUGCCACAGCUCAGCCAGUAGUAGUUGUUAAGUGGCAGAAGCAAAACAGGAAAAAAAACGACGUUUUAAGGUCGGUGUCAAUGGU
Aedes albopictus (Asian tiger mosquito) is the source of this 574-nucleotide long non-coding RNA. RefSeq lists it as uncharacterized. The transcript is spliced from 2 exons. NCBI's taxonomy places the organism in Eukaryota, Metazoa, Arthropoda, Insecta, Diptera, Culicidae. The record is from RefSeq and is a predicted model, not a curated record.